CCUACGGGUGGCAGCAGUAGGGAAUAUUGCUCAAUGGCGGAAACCCUGCAGCAGCAACGCCGCGUGGAGGAAGAAGGUUUUCGGAUUGUAAACUCCUUUUGUUAGAGAAGAUAAUGACGGUAUCUAACGAAUAAGUACCUGCUAACUCCGUGCCAGCAGCCGCAGUAAUACCGCGGGUGCAAGCGUUACUCUGAAUCACUGGGCGUAAAGAGCGCGUAGGCGGGAUAGCAAGUCAGAUGUGAAAUCCUAUGGGUUAACCAUAGAAGUGCAUUUGAAACUGUUAUUCUAGAGUAUGGGAGAGGUAGGUGGAAUUCUUGGUGUAGGGGUAAAAUCCGUAGAGAUCAAGAGGAAUACUCAUUGCGAAGGCGACCUGCUAGAACAUAACUGACGCUGAUGCGCGAAAGCGUGGGGAGCAAACAGGAUUAGAUACCCGAGUAGUC
This 440-nucleotide ribosomal RNA is filed under the name uncultured bacterium. RNAcentral's name for it is "partial 16S ribosomal RNA". It matches the Rfam family "Bacterial small subunit ribosomal RNA", at positions 338 to 795 of the family's 1533-position model. The record is from RNAcentral.